Molecule: ribosomal RNA, 465 nt
Filed under: Vreelandella stevensii
Lineage: Bacteria; Pseudomonadati; Pseudomonadota; Gammaproteobacteria; Oceanospirillales; Halomonadaceae
Description: partial 16S ribosomal RNA
Rfam family: Bacterial small subunit ribosomal RNA
Source: RNAcentral
CCUACGGGGGGCAGCAGUGGGGAAUAUUGGACAAUGGGCGAAAGCCUGAUCCAGCCAUGCCGCGUGUGUGAAGAAGGCCUUCGGGUUGUAAAGCACUUUCAGUGGGGAAGAAAGCCUUGGGGCUAAUACCCUCGAGGAAGGACAUCACCCACAGAAGAAGCACCGGCUAACUCCGUGCCAGCAGCCGCGGUAAUACGGAGGGUGCGAGCGUUAAUCGGAAUUACUGGGCGUAAAGCGCGCGUAGGCGGUCUGAUAAGCCGGUUGUGAAAGCCCCGGGCUCAACCUGGGAACGGCAUCCGGAACUGUCAGGCUAGAGUGCAGGAGAGGAAGGUAGAAUUCCCGGUGUAGCGGUGAAAUGCGUAGAGAUCGGGAGGAAUACCAGUGGCGAAGGCGGCCUUCUGGACUGACACUGACGCUGAGGUGCGAAAGCGUGGGUAGCAAACAGGAUUAGAUACCCCUGUAGCC